GAGUUUGAUCCUGGCUCAGAACGAACGCUGGCGGCAGGCUUAACACAUGCAAGUCGAACGCCCGCAAGGGGAGUGGCAGCGGGUGAGUAACGCGUGGGAACAUACCCUUUCCUGCGGAAUAGCUCCGGGAAACUGGAAUUAAUCCCGCAUACGCCCUACGGGGGGAAAGAUUUAUCGGGGAAGGAUUGGCCCGCGUUGGAUUAGCUAGUUGGUGGGGUAAAGGCCCACCAAGGCGACGCUCAAGGGUGGUCUGAAAGGAUGAUCAGCCACAUUGGGACUGAGACACGGCCCAAACUCCUACGGGAGGCAGCAGUGGGGAAUAUUGGACAAUGGGCGCAAGCCUGAUCCAGCCAUGCCGCGUGAGUGAUGAAGGGUUUAGGGUUGUAAAAGUAGAAUCACCGAUGAAGAUAAUGGCGG
RNAcentral lists this ribosomal RNA (417 nucleotides) under uncultured bacterium. RNAcentral describes it as "bacterial SSU rRNA". It matches the Rfam family "Bacterial small subunit ribosomal RNA", at positions 9 to 457 of the family's 1533-position model. The record is from RNAcentral.